UGGGGGACCAUUUUCCCUCCCGGUGCCUGGGGAUUUACAUCCGUAGCUCCCAUUAGCACUAAUGGGUGCUCCCCGCAUGCAAACUGCCCUCUCAUUGAUGGAGGAACAGACCCCCGAAUAAUGUUCUUGCUCCAUUUAUCUGGUGUUUGGAGAUGGACAGAGGGCUGCAUUAAUAGGGUUUUGAUAGCAUUGUGGUGCCAUUAUGCUAAUAGAGAUUUGUGUCAGCUAUUUUUUUUUUUUUAAGAGGGUCAUAAUUCUACUUUUAAAACUCUCUUUCGGCUGAAACAAAUUUUUUCAUAUUAAUUUUCGUUCUUUUUCUUUUUUGCCAACAAACGAUCCCCAUCCCCACCACACACAGAGGAAGUCAAUGGCUAUUUCACUCACUGGGCGGCAGUUGGUGCGUGAAGGCGAUUUUCACGUGGCUUGUUUGCCAGACAACCAUCCACCUGAUUUGCCCAGAGCUCAGGGCUCAGCUUCGGUCAUCCUCCCCCACGUGGCUCAGUCAGUCAUGAGCCUUAGAGGAGCCCUGUGAGGGAGGGGCCCGGGGGAACGUUCCCGUUGGCAUCUGAGGAGACCAAGGCCGAGAGGCGAAGCUUGAGAUUUUGUGGAAACGGGAGGCUGAAACCCACUUGCAUUGGAAAUCAGGUUUCUGAUUCCCAGGGCUGGUAGGCAUCUAGGAUCUCCAAGGCACGUUCCCCUCGAGCUUCUGAGGAGGGCUGGACGGCGCUCAUUUCCACCUGGGCUUCCAUGGUCCUGCUGAGGGCACAGCACACAGCGGUUUCCCAGGAAAUGUUUGGUGAGGACACUGAGAGCCAGGAGGUUGGGAAGCAUCCACCUUACCACUCAUGGCUGCUCAUAGCCACACACACUGCCUCGUAUGUAUGGACAUGAGCAUCUUGAGGGGGCCGUUGCUCACAUUUUCUGGCAGAGUCUGGUUCCAUGGCAUCUUCUCCAAACUCAGACUUCCGCCCUCUGCCCCCUGACAGCUCUAACCAGGUCCGAUGGUCCUGGUCGUCUAAGCCCUGGGACAGCUCUGACUCCCCUGCCCGCAUCAGGGGAGUGAAGGAGGGGUGACUCCCAUGGCCUCCCCUCCUGGACUCGUUCCCUCCCGGCCUGUGGUCCCCGUCCCACACCAUGGAACCAUUGCAACUACCCAUGGACUACCCUACACUGCAGCAGGCCCCCUAGUCCCUUUCUCGCAGCCAAAGACCUUCCAGACGUGGCAAGAAUGAGUGGCCACUGGCCUGUUAUGCAGCCGGAGCAUCACAUUCUAACAACCCCGCGGCCCCCCUUCUUCUGACCAUUGAAUUAUCUUCCUAGUUCUUUGUGCUUAUUGGAUUCCUCUUCUAAGUAUUUCUCCCCCAAUAAAAUCAGUUGCUUUUCUGGUCACAGAGGUCUAUGCACAGCAGUCUUCACUCCUCUUUGGUGCCUGGGCGGGGGUGGGUGGGUGGGGGGAGGCGUAAGGAGAUGAAGAGCCUCUCCUGGGGUGGGGGGUGGGAGGGAGGUGCUGCUUGGGCAGUUCGGAUGUUGGCAUCUGGCCAGGCCCGGAAGGCUGGCCCACUCCAGAGCCUCGAACACAGAUCCCCUGCUGAGUAGCAUGUUGAUGCCAGCAGACUGCCAGGCGGGCCCCCUGAUGUUUGUAAUACACAGAUCCGUAUCUGCAUUGUGAAGUUCCAUAUUAAUAUGAUGCUAAAUAGGGAUUCCGCCACUUGCCAGAGGGGGGGAUGGGGAAGCAGUGAACGAGGUCACCUGUAAAAAUGAGAGCCUCGGGACUGGCGCAGCAGCAGCCUUGCAGGUGACUGUUGGGCUGCAUUAGCAGUAGGAGGGGGGAGCCCCAGCAGCAUCUGCCUGCGUUAUUCUUGGUUCCGGCCCAGUGCCCCCUCUCUCCUCUUUCUCAUUGAAUUUGAUGCUUUAUGGAAGCCGCAACGUCAUAAAAAUAACACUCGGCUGCAUCCUUCACCCCGGGAUCUCAAAGCCCUCUACGGACAUGAAUAUUUAUCGCUAAGAAUCUGGGAUGUCGGUGGAGAAAUAUUAUCCCAAUUUUACAGAUGAGGAACUUGAGAUUGGGUGGUUAAGUGAUUUGGCAGAAGUUACUCCCUACCUACUGAGUGGUGGGGCCAUGUCCUGAGCCAGAUCCCAGAAAAGUCUUGGGAGCCCUUGGCAGAAGAGGAGAAUGGCCUUUGUUUAAAGGAAAGAAAAGCCAGUGUGUCCUAAACAGGCUGGAGGGAGGACGGGCAGGUGGUCUCACCUCCCCUCUCUGCCUCUGGUUCCCCUCUAUCAGACGGGAGGGAGGGGACUCUCAUGGCCGGUUGGGUUUUUCACGUCUCUGCCAACCUUUCCAAUUACAUCUGCCAGCUCCGAAUCCGCAGUUGGAGAGUAGUGAACAGUUUCAGCUACAGAACUUUCAGAAGGUCUGAAAAGGGCCCACUUGAGAGGAGGAACAUCCAUCAUGGUCAAGGACAAGGGGCCCUCUGGCAGGAAGGCCACAGAGUCUCUCUCUCUGUCUGGAAAGAUGGCGGCCAAGAGAUCAUCCGCCAAAUCGAAGGGGUCCUGAGGAUUCUAAGGAGGGUCCAGAAUUCUAGAACGAGGGGUAUAUUUUUUCUUCACCUUGGAAUUCUUCAGGAGGAAUAAAGGGUACUUCUACCUUUCCCUGUGCCAGUGGGAGAACUCCUGUGUCUGGAAAAAAAAAUACAUGGGUUUCAAAAAAGGCUGAAAGACAUUUAUAGAGGAGGCAUCCAUUUGGAAGGCACACACCUGACUAUUUGGGUUGAUACCAGGAGACGAUGCUGCAGUUUUAUUGUUCAGCACUUAGUGUCUGGCUACGGAAGAAAACGGAUAUUGAGGGUGGGAUGGUGCUUCCCUAAGCCUUUGCUAACCAUUUGUAAAGCUCUGACGAUGGGCCGUAGACUGUGUGGCACCAGGGAUCCAGAGCUGCCCAGGAUGACGCUUUUGCCCUGCCAGUGGGCGCCCCCCCAGGCUGGAGGGGGGAGGUAGACGUGCAGAUGAAUAAUUACGGGGUUGUGAGAUGAACUGCUGCAGAGACUGGUACCUGGUGCUGUGGGAGCACAGAGGAAGCGGUGAUUCCCGUCAGGGUAAUUCUCCUUGCAGAGUAUAUUCUUCCCAAACUCGCCUUGAUGAGGCUGGCACAUUUCUACCUCUUAGGCAUCAGAGGGUGGCCACCUGGUUCAUUGCAUCUGUACACCAAAGCUGUUCGGAAACACUUGAUCUAGCUCGUCCUAGCCUAUGGAAUUUUAGGGAGUGUCAAGAGUCAAGAGUUUCCUGCAGGUACCAGAAGAGUAUCCUGGCCACCUGUAGCGCAUGCUCAGUGCCAUUAGGGAAGCACAUCGAUGUUGCUCUCUUAGGGCUAAGUCAUGCUAUUUCGCUGCUUCCCAGGGCUUAAAUGUUGUAAGAAUGUCCUAGGAUAGGGUGUGCAAAGGGUGUUGUUAAUUGCUUGGAGUGUAAAUAGACGGUAGGAUAUGUUUAACAUCAUGGCAUAUUUGGUAGGGUCUGGGGUCCUGUGUGCCAGAGUCUUGACCAGACCUGCCAGAGUCAUAAUUUCUUCUUCCCAUGAAGUGCCUUACGAAGAUUACCUAGAUGACAAAGUAAAGAACCACAGGCACUUAAUAAUUGAGACUGUGGUUCCCCCCUCUCUGUCACGGUACUGAGGCAGGUAUGAUGGAGGAAGAGACUUCGAGUGGUUGAAUCAGCUUAUUGACUUUGCAUCUACGUUCUUGGGCAUCUUGGUCACUGUGACCUUUCUUUUGGAGGAACUAUGGCUCUGAAUUGAUGCUCACACAUGGAUGGCAUCCAGGACAGGCUUAGAGCUGAAAUAAAACCAAGAGAAAGGAAGCCAUUGAGGUCUCCUCAGUGUACGUAAUGUCCUCAACCACCUUCUCUUGGCCCAGCCAGCCAACCACGGCCCAGUAUAUGACCUUUUUGCCAAUCCUGUCUUCUCUUUGCAGCAAGUAUGUUGGCCCAUGAGUAUUUAUGGUGGUGAGGACAGUUGUGGGUGCUGGGAGGGAAAGAGGAUCUUUGUCUUCCUCUGGUGGUUGGCGUGCACCCCACGGAAGUAGCAACAGCAUGGCUGUUGCCAUAAGCUUUAUGCAGUUUCUGAGACACUUGUCUAGAAUUCCCUUUGACCAGACUUAUUGAGCUCAGUGAAACCUCUCCUGAGCUUCCUGCACGCAAGGAAUCAAGUCAUCAGGCUAAACCCAGAUGCUGGCCAAGGUGGCUGUUCUUCAUCAUCAUGAAUCCAACCUCUUGCAUCCGUUAAAGGCUAGAACAGUGAAAACUGGGCCAGGGUGUAGAGAAAGUUUAUCAGCACUUCAUUAACGUGGUGGUUAAGAGGGUGGCUUCUAGAAGGAGCUGGCUCUUGGUUGAAUUCCUUUAUAAUGUUUGGCACAUCCUGCAAGUCUUUGAUCUUUUUUUUUUUUCAUUUUUUUUAAGAUACAUAAAGCUGUUUAUGUCAUGAGAAUAACAAUGAGGACUGAGAGGAUUGCAUGGAUUAAAUUAACAUUGUAUGCAAAAUAUUUAGGGCUGUGCUCGGUUAUGUGGUAGGUGCCUUCAGGGGCUCAUCUGUAAAAUGGGGAUGCAUGUGAUUGGACCUCACAGGAUUUUUGUUAGGAUUAAAUGGCUGAUUUAUGGAAAACUCUGGGAUCUAGCAAUCACUCAUAAAUGUUAUUUUCUUAAAAUGUACUCACUGCUAUUACUUCUAUACAUUUAUUAUAUAAAGGUUUUCGAGGAAGACAUCCUAAAACACUGCCCUUUCCCCUUCACCUGGGAAAUAGAAAGACUUGAGAAGUCCACAUGGCCAUUGUGGUUAACUGAAAAGCUGAAAGCAUUUCCUUAAAAUCCCUUUUUUAAAAAUAUGUAUCUUUCUUCAACCUUAGAAAGACUUAAACAUUAAAAAUGCAAUCCUUGGGUGCUUUUGUUUUUAUAGUGAUUUUUUUGGUUUUGUUUUGGUGUUCCACAAAAGUGCUUUUAAAAAUAGCACAGCCCAGUAUUAGACAAAUGUUUAUCCGAUUAUAUAGGCCCAUCAACCAAGAGAACAUAAUAAGGUAGAGUUACUAGAUAUUCUAAAUGUGAAAAACAGGCAUAUUAAAAUGAAUGAAAAAUUAUAGGUGUUACUGCAGUAAGCUGCUUGUAAUAUCCUUUAACGGCAUAUAUUUCCUGAAAUUGUGCUCUGUGGCGGUUUGCUUACAAAAUGAAAGAAAUCCCAUCCAAGGCCUGCUUGUGUGGCAGUGCACAGAACCAGCCAAUACUUCCAACUUCUGUGCUUAUUUAUUGAACCCUUUUUUUUUUCUUUUCUUUUUCUUUUUUUUUUUGUAGGGCCGCACCCACGGCAUAAGAAGGUUCCCAGGCUAGGGGUCGAAUUGGAGCUGUGGUCUCUGGCCUACACCACAGCCACAGCAACGUGGGAUCCAAGCUGCAUCUGUGACCGGAUCCUUAACCCACUGAGUGAGGCCAGGGAUUGAACCUGCGUCCUCAUGAAUGCUAGUCAGAUUCUUUUUUCGCUGAGCCAGGACAGGAACUCCUACUGUAUCGUAUGUUUGUUUCCUUUUCUUUUUAACUUCCUGAGUGUAAGUCAGAUGAAGUUCAGUCUUUCUUGAUCUGGAUCUUCAGAGCUCAAAGCCACAUGUGCCUGGUAAAUCCAACAGUUUGGGAAGCAGCCCUGCAGCGAACCUUUCCGUAAGGGAGAUACUGGUGUUACCUGGUGCGGGGUGCAAGAGGAGGGUCUAAGGUGAGCUUGUGUGUGGUGAGGGUGCAGGUGCAGGUGCGAGGGGUGACUUCCAAAUUCACUCGUUCCAGAGUAGGGUCAUGAGAGGUGGGGACCUGGGUGAUUUUGGAAUUGCUGGGACUUUGAAGGAAUGGUCAUUUUAGGGUCAUGCUGUCUUAGUUUCUGUUGGCUGCUGGAAGUAACUUGGAAAAAAGGGAUAUUAUAGGAGUUAAAAAAAAAGCUGGGGACCCCACAGGGGAGGCUACAGGGAAAUCCCCCAGCAGGGUGCUCUCCCCAAUUGUGAGGGCAGGUGGGACCCUGGCGACACUUGACUGUCGUUUUGCAUCGGAAGUCGUCUUGAAGAUGCCAUUAUGCUUUUCAAGGAAGUGACCCCUGUCAAGAAUGUGUGGCAGCCACAGCUGUGCCCAGGACAGGGGGCUGGCGCGGGAUGAGCGCGAGUCCACAGUCAAAUGCAGCUGGCCCUUUGGAAGAGGAGAGACAUUGGUGGCUGUCCUUCCUGUCCUCACCCCUGCACCGAGGAACACCUCGUGAGACACUCGGGGUGCUUGUCAAUAAGAUGAAUGGCUAAGUAUGAAGUUUGAAAACUGCUGGCUCUUUACUGCUCGGAAGCAGUUCGCAUAGCCUUUGUCAUAGGGAUAGCGCAUUCCGAGGUCCACGUGGGGGAGCCUUAAGCCUCCAACAUUGCAAUUUCCAGCUAAAUAAAGGGUAUCUGGGUGGAUUUGCCUCGAUACAUUGGAUAAAUUCUGAGGAAAGUCCUGUAAUCCAUGAUGCUGGGGAGGCCAGCUGCUGUUUCCCUUGUAAAGGUCAGGAUAGCAUUGCAUUAAAUUUUUUUUUUUUUUAAUUUUUUGCUCCCGGUAACUCAUGAUGUGUUUUGUUGAGAGUUUGCUCCUUGGAUGGCACAGGUUGGCAUGUUCUCUUUGGUUGAAGUGGUGGAGCCUGAUGGGCAUAAGCUUGGAAAAGUGCUUAGGAAGAGAUCUUUUGUUGGGUUUUAAUUCUAAAACACAAUAAGAAACCACAUCCAACAAUCACGCCUCCCACCACACGAACAUGUAAUUAACUUUCCUUCUUCUCUCUGGUCAACUAUGUCCCAGGCCUUUCCAGUCCUUGGUGGGUACUCUCACCUGCUGUUUUAUCACCAUCCCCUCAGCUGUUCUUUGCAUUAGUUGCCCUGGCCUCAUCCCUUUUUUCCCUUUCCCCAGUUCACUGUUUAUCUCAUCAUCAGGAGGAAAGGGCGGCAGAAUCCAUGUCUUCCCAUCAAUGGGGUGGGAAAGGGGGCCCCUAAUCUGGGCUCGUUUGUGAGGGUGUCGGUGGCAGAGGCGAAUCAGCCUGCCGAUUUCAGGAGGCCCUGUUUCCAGCGGCUUCUACCAGAGAUCAUGCAGAGUGCCAAUUACAAUUGAUUUCUCCAUAAAACGGUGUUCAACCUUCCCCAACAGCAUCCGAGACAGAAAUGACAGACAACUGUGAAGGACUGUCUCCCUUUUAAAAUUUUAUUUUGUGGAGUCAAUUUCAUUCUUGCAGGUUUAUUAUCAUUAUUAGCCUUGGACGAUGAGGCGCUCACCUCAAUUGGCCUUCCUACUCGGGAGAAAUCAGGCAGAGUCAGCCCUGGAAGGGUGGGAGUGAUGGGCCAGUCUCCCCCCCCACCCCCCUUCCGCGGCUGUUGUUCCAGGGCAGGCUUCUCAUUGGGUGCCCGGAGAGACGCCCCUAAGAUCUGAAAGUGCAGGGAGUUUGCUGCGUGUGUUUGGAGUCACGUGUUCAGAAUCUAAUGGGCUGUUUAUAGCCGAUUGCUGGGUCCCUUCUCUCCAAUCAAUCAAGCUCCUCUCUCUUUCUCUCUCUCAUUUUCAUACACGUGCACCCCCGCUCCGCUUCCGCCUUCUGCCCAGAGCUCAUUGCUUUGGGAACCAGCCACCAACCCACCUAAUUAAAACACGUCUUUCCAGUUGCUGGAGCGACUGCCCCAGUGCUGCUUCACCACCGCCACGCUGGGCCCGCUUAGCUCCUACCUGUGUGUCCGCCACAAGGGCUCCUCUGUACAAAAGAAGUCCGUUGAUUUAGCGUUGCUUUGCCUUCUGAGGUGGAAAGCGGGCAUCGUUUUCCCAGGAAACCAACUUCUUCUAAGGAGGAGAGAUGUGUGCUCAGCGCCUUAGGAUCGCAUCACUACCGCCACCUCCGCUGCCACCUUGACCAGCGGCUCAACAUUGACUGAACCAUCGCUGUUGGGCGGGCCCUCUGCCAAGGGCUGUUUCUUUUUUCCUUGCAAUCAUUCUGAUUUACGUCAUUGUUUCCCCUGCCCAGCUGGCUGUUUCCAUGGCUUAAAACAACAACGGCAACAACAAAAAACAAAACAACACACAACUAUUUUAACCAUUAACUGUAUUUUAAGUGAUGUUAGGUGCCUUCGCGUUUGCUGUGCAGCCUUCACCUCCAUCCAUCCCCAGAACUCUUUUCAGCUUGCAAACCCGGACCUCUAUACCCAUUAAGGAUAGUUCCCCAUUCUCCUUUUCUCCAGCUCCUGGGGACCCCAUUCCACUUCCUGUGAAUUGGACUUGUCUAGGUAUCGCAUGUAAGGGGAAUCAUGUAGUAUGUGUCUUUUUUUUUUGUGACUGUUAUUUCCUUUAGCAUAAUUUCCUCUAGGUUCAUCCAUAUUGUAGCGUGUGUCAGAACUGCCUUUCUUUUAAAGGCCAAAUAGUAUCCCACUGUGUGUGGAUACUACCGUUUGCUUAUCCCUUUAUCUGUUGAUGGACACUCCAUCGCUUCCACGUCUUGGCUGUUGUGAAUAAUGCUGCUAUGAACAUAGAUGUAAAAUAUCUCUUCGAGCUCCUGUUUUCAGUUCUUUCGGGUGUACACUCAGAAGGGGAGUUACUGGAUCAUAUGGUAGUUCUAUUUUUCGUUUUUCUAGGAACUUCUGUAUGGUUUGCCACAACAGUGGCACCUUAUUACAUUUUCACCAACAGACCACCUGGCUUCCAGUUUGUCCACAUCCUGGCCAAGACCUGUUAUUUUCUGCCUUUUUGAUAGUGGCCAUCCUCCUGGGUGCAAGGUGACAGCUUAAGUACUUUAUGUAUCUCAUAACCACCCUGUGCAGUUGGCAGUUAUUAUUUUCCUCAUUUGAAAGAUCUGAAAAUUGAACUUAAAUGUUCUCACAAAAAAAGGUAAACAGAGGGAGUUCCCUUUGUGGCUCAGUGGGUUACAAACAUGACCAGUAUCCAUGAGGAUGAAGGUUCCAUCCCUGGCUCACUCACUGGGUUAAGGAUCCUGUGUUGCCACAAGCUGCAGUGUAGGCUACAGACACAGCUCAGAUCCCAAGUUGCUGUGACUGUGGUGUAGGCCGGUAGCUGCAGCUCUGAUUGGAUUCCUAGCCUGGGAAUUUCUGUAUGCCCC
Molecule: long non-coding RNA, 9115 nt
Filed under: Sus scrofa (pig)
Lineage: Eukaryota; Metazoa; Chordata; Mammalia; Artiodactyla; Suidae
Description: lncRNA (ENSSSCG00055018505.1)
Source: RNAcentral